AUACGGAGGAUCCGAGCGUUAUCCGGAUUUAUUGGGUUUACAGGGUGCGCAGGCGGGAGAUUAAGUCGGCGGUGAAAUUUUGCAGCUCAACUGUAAAAGUGCCUUCGAAACUGGUUUCCUGAGUGUAGAUGAAGUAGGCGGAAUUUGUGGUGUAGCGGUGAAAUGCAUAGAUAUCACGAGGAACUCCGAUUGCGCAGGCAGCUUACUAAACUGCUACUGACGCUCAGGCACGAAGGCGUGGGGAUCAAACAGGAUUAGAUACCCUGGUAGUCCACGCAGUAAACGAUGAUUACUAGCUGUUUGCGAUACAAUGUAAGCGGCUGAGCGAAAGCGUUAAGUAAUCCACCUGGGGAGUACGUUCGCAAGAAUGAAACUCAAAUGAAUUGACGGGG
This 392-nucleotide ribosomal RNA is filed under the name uncultured bacterium. Its description in RNAcentral is "partial 16S ribosomal RNA". It matches the Rfam family "Bacterial small subunit ribosomal RNA", at positions 523 to 918 of the family's 1533-position model. The record is from RNAcentral.